CCCUUAGAUGUUCUGGGCCGCACGCGCGCUACAAUGAUGAAUUCAACGAGUUUAUAACCUUGGUUGAAAAGCCUGGGUAAUCUUUUGAACUUUCGUCGUGAGGGGGCUAGACCCUUGCAAUUAUUGGUCUCCAACGAGGAAUUCCUAGUAAACGCAAGUCAUCAGCUUGCAUUGAUUACGUCCCUGCCCUUUGUACACACCGCCCGUCGCACCUACCGAUUGAAUGGUCCGGUGAAAUCUUCGGAUUGAGACUUUGAUUUGUUUACUCAAAACGCUGUUUCAAGAAGUUGAUUAAACCUUACCAUUUAGAGGAAGGUGAAGUCGUAACA
RNAcentral lists this ribosomal RNA (329 nucleotides) under uncultured eukaryote. RNAcentral describes it as "partial 18S ribosomal RNA". It matches the Rfam family "Eukaryotic small subunit ribosomal RNA", at positions 1470 to 1796 of the family's 1831-position model. The record is from RNAcentral.